CUCCAGACUCCUACGGGAGGCAGCAGUGAGGAAUAUUGGUCAAUGGGCGCAAGCCUGAACCAGCCAAGUCGCGUGAGGGAUGACGGUCCUAUGGAUUGUAAACCUCUUUUGUCGGGGAGCAAGGCCCGCCACGUGUGGCGGGAAGGAGAGUACCCGAAGAAAAAGCAUCGGCUAACUCCGUGCCAGCAGCCGCGGGAAUACGGAGGAUGCGAGCGUUAUCCGGAUUUAUUGGGUUUAAAGGGAGCGUAGGGGGAUUGUUAAGUCAGUUGUGAAAGUUUGCGGCUCAACCGUAAAAUUGCAGUUGAAACUGGCAGUCUUGAGUACAGUAGAGGUGGGCGGAAUUCGUGGUGUAGCGGUGAAAUGCUUAGAUAUCACGAAGAACUCCGAUUGCGAAGGCAGCUCACUGGACUGCAACUGACACUGAUGCUCGAAAGUGUGGGUAUCAAACAGGAUUAGAUACCCUUGUAA
RNAcentral lists this ribosomal RNA (468 nucleotides) under uncultured bacterium. RNAcentral describes it as "bacterial SSU rRNA". It matches the Rfam family "Bacterial small subunit ribosomal RNA", at positions 329 to 793 of the family's 1533-position model. The record is from RNAcentral.